This 520-nucleotide ribosomal RNA is filed under the name uncultured Glomus. RNAcentral's name for it is "SSU rRNA". It matches the Rfam family "Eukaryotic small subunit ribosomal RNA", at positions 569 to 1090 of the family's 1831-position model. The record is from RNAcentral. Lineage: Eukaryota; Fungi; Glomeromycota; Glomeromycetes; Glomerales; Glomeraceae.
AGCAGCCGCGGUAAUUCCAGCUCCAAUAGCGUAUAUUAAAGUUGUUGCAGUUAAAAAGCUCGUAGUUGAAUUUCGGGGUUAGUAGGUUGGUCAUGCCUCUGGUAUGUACUGGUCUCACUGAUUCCUCCUUCCUGACGAACCUUAAUGCCAUUAAUUUGGUGUUUCGGGAAAUUUGGACUGUUACUUUGAAAAAAUUAGAGUGUUUAAAGCAAGCUAACGCUUGAAUACAUUAGCAUGGAAUAAUGAAAUAGGACGUUCGAUCCUAUUUUGUUGGUUUCUAGGAUUGACGUAAUGAUUAAUAGGGAUAGUUGGGGGCAUUAGUAUUCAAUUGUCAGAGGUGAAAUUCUUGGAUUUAUUGAAGACUAACUACUGCGAAAGCAUUUGCCAAGGAUGUUUUCAUUAAUCAAGAACGAAAGUUAGGGGAUCGAGACGAUCAGAUACCGUCGUAGUCUUAACCAUAAACCAUGCCGACUAGGGAUCGGAUGAUGUUAAUUUUUUAAUUGACUCAUUCGGCGCUUAC